CUUAAAGGAGUCUCUUUAAAAGCUUCCAGAGCCGAUUAUAUUUUGGAUUGUGUUUCAAAUCACCCUUCCCCCCCAGGUUUGGUGGGUCCUCAGACAAGUUCCCAGAAUAAAUUAGACAUAACGGUAGCAGGAUUUAUUAUUAUUUUUUUUUUUUACUUGAGAAGGAGGAAGGAAUAAAUGACACCAAUUUCUGUAAUGGAAAGAAAAAAAGAAAAAAGUGUAUAUCGGAAACUGCUGCUGAGUGACUCAUGCUGCCAGACAAACGGAACCUCACUCAUCACUCCAUCUUCAUCCUCCUCUGGUUACUUCUCCUUCCACCUGGAGAUGCCUUGAGUUUGACUGACUACGCAUGGUGUGAGAGGAGGAAGAAUGAACGUCAUUUCAUUUUAUUAAAACCAGAAAGGAGGCUGCUGGCCACUUUGCUCAACAUCCUCAUCAGUACUUUCC
This 447-nucleotide long non-coding RNA is filed under the name Serinus canaria (Common canary). RNAcentral describes it as "lncRNA (ENSSCAG00000014933.1)". The record is from RNAcentral. Lineage: Eukaryota; Metazoa; Chordata; Aves; Passeriformes; Fringillidae.